AGUGAACGCUGGCGGUAGGCCUAACACAUGCAAGUCGAACGGCAGCACAGUAAGAGCUUGCUCUUACGGGUGGCGAGUGGCGGACGUGUGAGGAAUACAUCGUAAUCUACUUUUUCGUGGGGGAUAACGUAGGUAAACUUACGCUAAUACCGCAUACGACGUACGGGUGAAAGCAGGGGAUCUUCGGACCUUGCGCGAAUGAAUGAGCCGAUGUCGGAUUAGCUAGUUGGCGGGGUAAAGGCCCACCAAGGCGACGAUCCGUAGCUGGUCUGAGAGGAUGAUCGCCCACACGGGAACUGAGACACGGUCCAGACUCCUACGGGAGGCAGCAGUGGGGAAUAUUGGACAGUGGGCGCAAGCCUGAUCCAGCCAUACCGCGUGGGUGAAGAAGGCCUUCGGGUUGUAAAGCCCUUUUGUUGGGAAAGAAAAGCAGCAGGUUAAUACCACGCUGUUCUGACGGUACCCAAAGAAUAAGCACCGGCUAACUUCGUG
This 492-nucleotide ribosomal RNA is filed under the name uncultured bacterium. RNAcentral's name for it is "partial 16S ribosomal RNA". It matches the Rfam family "Bacterial small subunit ribosomal RNA", at positions 29 to 507 of the family's 1533-position model. The record is from RNAcentral.